GCGUGCUUAACACAUGCAAGUCGAGCGGAAAGGCCUUUCGGGGUACUCGAGCGGCGAACGGGUGAGUAACACGUGAGUAAUCUGCCCCUAGCUCUGGGAUAGCUCCGGGAAACCGGGAUUAAUACCGGAUACGACCACUUUAGACAUCUGUUGUGGUGGAAAGAAUUUUGGCUAGGGAUGAGCUCGCGGCCUAUCAGCUUGUUGGUGGGGUAACGGCCUACCAAGGCGACGACGGGUAGCCGGCCUGAGAGGGCGACCGGCCACACUGGGACUGAGACACGGCCCAGACUCCUACGGGAGGCAGCAGUGGGGAAUAUUGCGCAAUGGGCGAAAGCCUGACGCAGCGACGCCGCGUGGGGGAUGAAGGCCUUCGGGUUGUAAACCCCUUUCAGCAGGGACGAAGCGAAAGUGACGGUACCUGCAGAAGAAGCGCCGGCUAACUACGUGCCAGCAGCCGCGGUAACACGUAGGGCGCAAGCGUUGUCCGGAAUUAUUGGGCGUAAAGAGCUCGUAGGCGGUCUGUUGCGUCCGCUGUGAAAACUCGGGGCUUAACCCCGAGCCUGCAGUGGAUACGGGCAGACUAGAGGUAGGUAGGGGAGAAUGGAAUUCCCGGUGUAGCGGUGAAAUGCGCAGAUAUCGGGAGGAACACCGGUGGCGAAGGCGGUUCUCUGGGCCUUACCUGACGCUGAGGAGCGAAAGCGUGGGGAGCAAACAGGAUUAG
Molecule: ribosomal RNA, 721 nt
Filed under: uncultured Actinomycetes bacterium
Lineage: Bacteria; Bacillati; Actinomycetota; Actinomycetes
Description: bacterial SSU rRNA
Rfam family: Bacterial small subunit ribosomal RNA
Source: RNAcentral